AUGAGUUGCGGGCCAGCGAUGGGGAAAGUUAAUAGCCAGGGCUUAGAAGUCAGCCCGCUCAAGUCCAAAUUACAGGAAAAGACAGAACAAUCUCAACAGCUGCAAGAUCAAAUUCUCAAGCAGCAGGAGGCUCUAAGUAGGGCAAGCCAAACUCUCAAAGACACCAGGAAAGCAGCUGGCAAUAAGUGGCAUCAGCAGGUGGAGAGACAGACAUGCUGGAACCACAGGCGGAGGGUGAACCAGCUGCAGGGGGAAGCUAUGAAGUCUGCGAGAUGGUGUUUUUCUGUAAUGUGCUGUUCUAAAGGUUCAAGUCUGAAUUUUAAGGGCAGAAAUCUCCAGCCCGAAGUCUUGCUAUGUCCAGAAAGUCAUCCGUAUGGAACACCCUGAAGAGGCAAUGGACCAGCUAACAGAAGAGCUCCAAGCAGCCCUGGACAAUCUGAAGAGCCAGACGGGGAAAAUACGCCGGUGCGAGGAAGAAAUUGAGAGAUUAAGAGAGAAAAUGGACAGCCACCAAAAAUGGUUUGUAGUCAAACUGGCAUCAGUGCUCCUAAGAAUAAAAAAAUGCACUACAAAAAUACAUUUCUUGAUCAGAAUUGUUUUCCUGUUUUCAGGAAAAUUUUGAAGAAUAGAUAAGCAGAGUGUAUAAGAUACUAAAGUAAUAAUGCAUUCGAAAAUGAAAAUGCUGUUAUGCUUUUGCAUCCAUUUUAAAUUUUAAAAGUUUUAAUCCUAAUUAAUUGUUAAUUGAAAAAAUUGUUAUAUCAUUCUCACUUAAAAGUCAUGGUUUUCUUUUUCAUGUUAUAGCAAUAGCUUUGUUUAUGGUGAAAUUAGGUUAUAUUUAAUAUAUUGGCCAACAUUAAGUAACAUUUUGGCUUGUGUCUAAAGAGGAUAUGUUGCUUCAGCAAAUUAAUUUAAUGUAAUUUUUAUUUUAUUAAUUUUUUUGGAGGGGGGUGGGAGGUAUUUUUGGUUGACAUUAAAUCAAAGUCUGGACCCAACCUUGUUUUUCACUGUAAGUGCAGUGUAAGAUUUAUGAAUCAUUCUUUUUUUCUUUUUUCUUUUUUUGCCACAUUUAUAAUGUAACUUUUUUUAAAGCAUACAUUUGACAAAAUGUCCUGAAAUGGAAAAAUAUAUAUAUCAAGAUAUCUUCUCUGUAAACAAGUUUAUUAUUACUUGAUAUUAUUAUGCUAAUUACUAAGUGAAUUAAUCUUGAUUCAAGGAUGUUUUACUAGUAAAAUCCUGACUAACAAAAUGUUUUUUGCAGUGUUUUCUGUGAC
Molecule: long non-coding RNA, 1271 nt
Filed under: Carassius auratus (goldfish)
Lineage: Eukaryota; Metazoa; Chordata; Actinopteri; Cypriniformes; Cyprinidae
Description: lncRNA (ENSCARG00000055316.1)
Source: RNAcentral